This is a non-coding RNA of Gasterosteus aculeatus aculeatus (three-spined stickleback), 2252 nucleotides long. The record is from RefSeq and is a predicted model, not a curated record. NCBI's taxonomy places the organism in Eukaryota, Metazoa, Chordata, Actinopteri, Perciformes, Gasterosteidae.
UACCACAUUGACAUGAUUUCAUCGUACGUAUAAAUCUUUUACUAGAAAAAUAAACUAAUGCAAGACAAAAAGGGUGCACAGGCAAAGGCGGAAUCCACACGCUCUUGAAGAAACAAAAAAAGGAAGAGAGCCUGGCAACGAAGUAAAAACAAGUUUACCAAAAACAGCACUGGGGACUUCUAACUACAAACAUACACCUCUAGGAAACACAAAAGAUAACCUGACACAGACAAGUGGGGAACUGAGGCUUAAAUACAGGUGGAGGUGAUUGCAAACUAAACUCAGCUGUGGGGAGAAACAAAGGGUGAGAAACUAGAUACAGGAAGUGCCGUGGUUACAAAAAUAAAAACAGGAAGUUAAUCUUCACAGUCUCUUCGAGUCGUCACAAGAUGCAUACAAAGAUAUGCCAACUACACGAGUAAUUGUGGAAGGGAAAGAAUUGGCGUUUUUAGUAGACUCCGGAGCUACUCAUUCAGUAAUUCAAGAAAAACCUUUUCCAAAUCAAAAAAUGAGUGGGCGGUAUGUAUAUUCUCAAGGGGCUUCAGGUUUGACUGUGACAGGAAAAUUUACUGCACCUAUGACGACAGUACACUCUGACGAGACUGACCUAAACCCUGACAUAAAAGUAAAACAUUCUUUUUUACUCUCUUCACUCUGUCCCAUAAAUCUGAUGGGCAGAGACUUGAUGUGUACAUGUGGUAUUUGUUUGACGUCAUCUCCAGACGGCCUUAAAGUGGUUCGGCGUAGAUCCGCACUCCAAAUGGUGCAAAAGGCUCCCUCUAAUCCUCUUUUUGUGUAUCAGUGGUGGAUCCCGAUCGAUGAUGCUCGGAGGCUGAGCCAGGCUGGUGAAGCACGGGUUUCUCCUCAUGCAGACAAAGAACUGUUUCAAGUUCCCGGCUCCCAGUGUCUCACUGUCUAAAGGACGCCUUGACCAAUGGAGGGAUUUGGGACCAUUUGUGGCUCAGUGUGAAUCUCUCACUGACUGGGAGGAGACAAUCGAUCCGCUCGUUCUGCGCUCCGCCUCUACAGGGUUUCACAGAACUCACUGUGUACACGGUGGCGUAUUUCUCCGCUAAACUCGACCCUGUCGCUGCAGGACUGCCACAAUGUUAGCGCGCUGUGGCCGCGCCUGAAGAGGCGCUCACUGCCUCACGUGACAUAGUGGGUUACGCACCACUCACUCUGCUCGUUCCGCACGCGGUUUCUUUGAUUCUCCUCGAACAGAAAUCAUCUCACCUCUCUGCGGCUCGCUAUUUGCGUUACCACACGUGUCUCCUGGACAUGCCGAAUGUCACUAUAAACGUUGUACUAACCUAAACCCUGCAUCAUUACUUCCUAUUCCUGGGGAUGGGGAGGACCACAACUGUUUGGCUGAGCUCCAAGCUCAGUGCACUCCUCGCCCUGACCUAGUGGACACUCCAUUGCCUAACAGCGACAUGGUCCUCUGCCAUGUCACCUCUCAGCCCAGGCAGCCGAGCUCAUCGCUCUGACCGAGGCCUGUAAACUGGCUACGGGUAAAACAGUCACAGUUCACACUGACUCUCGCUAUGCGUUUGGUGUAGUACAUGAUUUUGGGGUGCUGUGGAAACACAGGAACUUCUUUAAAUCGGACGGUUAGCCCAUCCUACAUCACACUCUCAUUGCUGAGCUGUUGGAAUCCAUCUUGCUACCCACAGCUAUUGCUGUCUGUAAAUGUGCUGCCCACACAUCCGAUACGGAUGAUGUAUAUGUGAUGCUCGAGCAGACUCGGCUGCAAAAGCUGCUGCUCUGCUUUCGCUUCCCACUACCUGUGCUCUCGUGUGCUCUGAGGAGUCAGUUCCUCUUCUCUUACAGCGAUGCAGUCACGCUCUGAAAGACGGCUUUGGUCCACAUCUGGCUGUGUUUACACCAACGGUAUCUGGACUGGACCCGACGGCAAGCUGUGUUUACCUAAACACUAUUUUGCUCAUUAUGCUAAAUUGACUCAUGGAUUAGACCAUGUGUCAAAAGGGGGAAUGUUACGUGCACUUAAAUAGACGUGGUUUACAAAAGGGUUCACAGCAUAUGCACAAAAAUUCUGUUCUGCAUGUGUCACCUGUUCUACUCACAAUGUAGGCAGGCCCGUGGGCGUGUCCAGCCAGGCUGCACACCCACCACCAACCCGCCCAUUUGAGCACAUUAUGAUGGAUUUUGUGGAGUUGUCUCCAUCACAAGGUAAGAAACACUGUCAAGUGAUGAUAGACAUGUUUUCCAAGUGGGUGGAGGUUUUUCCA